AUUUAUAUAGUUUAAAAAAAAACAAUACACUUUCAAUGUAUAAAUAAAUAAAUUUUAUAAAUG
This 63-nucleotide transfer RNA is filed under the name Lycorma delicatula (spotted lanternfly). Its description in RNAcentral is "tRNA-Glu". The record is from RNAcentral. Lineage: Eukaryota; Metazoa; Arthropoda; Insecta; Hemiptera; Fulgoridae.